RNAcentral lists this ribosomal RNA (253 nucleotides) under uncultured bacterium. RNAcentral's name for it is "partial 16S ribosomal RNA". It matches the Rfam family "Bacterial small subunit ribosomal RNA", at positions 524 to 776 of the family's 1533-position model. The record is from RNAcentral.
UACGUAGGGACCGAGCGUUGUCCGGAAUCAUUGGGCGUAAAGAGCGUGUAGGCGGCCUUUUAAGUCCUGCGUGAAAUCCUGCGGCUCAACCGCAGACGGUCGUGGGAAACUGGAAGGCUAGAGUGCGGGAGAGGAGAGUGGAAUUCCCGGUGUAGCGGUGAAAUGCGCAGAUAUCGGGAGGAACACCAAUGGCGAAGGCAGCUCGCUGGGACGGUACUGACGCUGAGACGCGAAAGCGUGGGGAGCAAACAGG